Molecule: ribosomal RNA, 492 nt
Filed under: uncultured bacterium
Lineage: Bacteria
Description: partial 16S ribosomal RNA
Rfam family: Bacterial small subunit ribosomal RNA
Source: RNAcentral
GAUGAACGCUAGCUACAGGCUUAACACAUGCAAGUCGAGGGGAAACGGCAUCGAAAGCUUGCUUUUGAUGGGCGUCGACCGGCGCACGGGUGAGUAACGCGUAUCCAACCUGCCCAUCACUUGGGAAUAACCUUGCGAAAGUAAGACUAAUGCCCAAUGACAUCCCACGAAGGCAUCCGAAUGGGAUUAAAGAUUUAUCGGUGAUGGAUGGGGAUGCGUCUGAUUAGCUUGUUGGCGGGGUGACGGCCCACCAAGGCAACGAUCAGUAGGGGUUCUGAGAGGAAGGUCCCCCACAUUGGAACUGAGACACGGUCCAAACUCCUACGGGAGGCAGCAGUGGGGAAUAUUGGUCAAUGGGCGAGAGCCUGAACCAGCCAAGUAGCGUGCAGGAUGACGGCCCUAUGGGUUGUAAACUGCUUUUAUAAGGGAAUAAAGUGGGUCACGUGUGACUUUUUGCAUGUACCUUAUGAAUAAGGACCGGCUAAUUCCGUG